UACGAAGGGGGCUAGCGUUGCUCGGAAUCACUGGGCGUAAAGCGCACGUAGGCGGAUUGCUAAGUCAGGGGUGAAAUCCUGGAGCUCAACUCCAGAACUGCCUUUGAUACUGGUGAGCUUGAGUCCGGAAGAGGUGAGUGGAACUGCGAGUGUAGAGGUGAAAUUCGUAGAUAUUCGCAAGAACACCAGUGGCGAAGGCGGCUCACUGGUCCGGUACUGACGCUCAUGCACGAAAAGCGUGGGGGAGCAAACAGG
This 255-nucleotide ribosomal RNA is filed under the name uncultured bacterium. RNAcentral describes it as "partial 16S ribosomal RNA". It matches the Rfam family "Bacterial small subunit ribosomal RNA", at positions 524 to 776 of the family's 1533-position model. The record is from RNAcentral.